This 75-nucleotide antisense RNA is filed under the name Micromonospora nigra. RNAcentral describes it as "ASpks TB sRNA". It matches the Rfam family "ASpks TB sRNA". Lineage: Bacteria; Bacillati; Actinomycetota; Actinomycetes; Micromonosporales; Micromonosporaceae. The record is from Rfam by way of RNAcentral.
CUUCAACGAACCCAACCACAGCGGACGCUCGGCGUCCCGGCCCUGCCCGUACGUGGCCAGCAGAGCCUGCGCCUC